UAAGGAAUAUUGCUCAAUGGGAGAAAUCCUGAGGCAGCAACGCCGCGUGGAGGAUGAAGGGUCUAUGACUUGUAAACUCCUGUAAAGAAGGAAAAAAUUCCCAUUUGAUGGGAGAUGAUGGUACUUCUGGAGUAAGCCCCGGCUAACUACGUGCCAGCAGCCGCGGUAAUACGUAGGGGGCAAGCGUUGUCCGGAUUUACUGGGUGUAAAGGGUGCUCAGGCGGAUUUGUAAGUCAGAGGUGAAAUCUUACAGCUUAACUGUGAAACUGCCUUUGAUACUGCAACCCUAGAGUAUGGAAGAGAGUGAUGGAAUAUCUGGUGUAGCAGUGAAAUGCGUAGAUAUCAGAUAGAACACCAAUGGCGAAGGCAGCCACUUGGUCCAUUACUGACGCUAAAGCACGAAAGCGUGGGUA
This 413-nucleotide ribosomal RNA is filed under the name uncultured bacterium. RNAcentral's name for it is "bacterial SSU rRNA". It matches the Rfam family "Bacterial small subunit ribosomal RNA", at positions 355 to 767 of the family's 1533-position model. The record is from RNAcentral.